Molecule: non-coding RNA, 556 nt
Organism: Phyllostomus discolor (pale spear-nosed bat)
Lineage: Eukaryota; Metazoa; Chordata; Mammalia; Chiroptera; Phyllostomidae
Source: the annotation of a RefSeq genome assembly
GCCACGCCCUCCCCUACAGAAGACCUGAUGAGCACAGCCCCUCACCAUGGACUGGAGCUGGAGAGCCUUCUUCCUGGUGGCAGUGGCUACAGGUGUCCACUCCCAGGUGCAGCUGGUCCAGUCUGGGGCUGAGGUGAAGAAGCCUGGGGCCUCAGUGAAGAUCUCCUGCAAGGCUUCUGGGUACACCUUCACCAGCAACCGGAUGCACUGGGUGCGGCAGGCCCCAGGUCAAGGCCUUGAGUGGAUGGGGAAUGUUUACCCUAGAGAUAGUGACACCAACUACGCGCAGAAGUUCCAGGGCAGACUCACCAUAACUGCAGACAAGUCCACAAGCACAGCCUACAUGGAGCUGAGCAGCCUGAGAGCCGAGGACACGGCCGUGUAUUACUGUGCGAGAGACACAGUGAGGGGAAUUCCCAUGGACCCUCCAUCUGCUGACAGGCCUGAUCAGGCUCAGAAGUGGUGGUUCGACCCAUCAUCUCGGGAUACAUAUGGAUCCCUGAAAGGGCUGUCAGUUCAGUGCUCCAGACACAGGAUCCCCCACAUUCAACCUUAG